GCAUAAGACCACGGCCGGGCAUCCGGCAGAGGUCAAAGGAGCAAUCCGGUGCAGGGUGAGCUCGCGUCCGAUUAGAUAGUUGGUGAGGUAACGGCCCACCAAGUCGACGAUCGGUAGCCGACCUGAGAGGGUGAUCGGCCACAUUGGGACUGAGACACGGCCCAAACUCCUACGGGAGGCAGCAGUGGGGAAUAUUGGGCAAUGGGGGGAACCCUGACCCAGCAACGCCGCGUGAGGGAAGAAGGUUUUCGGAUCGUAAACCUCUGUCCUUGGUGAAGAGAGAGAGACGGUAGCCAAGGAGGAAGCCCCGGCUAACUACGUGCCAGCAGCCGCGGUAAUACGUAGGGGGCGAGCGUUGUCCGGAAUGAUUGGGCGUAAAGGGCGCGUAGGCGGCUUUUUAAGUCUGGAGUGAAAGUCCUGCUUUCAAGGUGGGAAUUGCUUUGGAUACUGGAGAGCUUGAGUGCAGGAGAGGUAAGUGGAAUUCCCAGUGUAGCGGUGAAAUGCGUAGAGAUUGGGAGGAACACCAGUGGCGAAGGCGACUUACUGGACUGUAACUGACGCUGAGGCGCGAAAGUGUGGG
RNAcentral lists this ribosomal RNA (580 nucleotides) under uncultured rumen bacterium. Its description in RNAcentral is "bacterial SSU rRNA". It matches the Rfam family "Bacterial small subunit ribosomal RNA", at positions 171 to 765 of the family's 1533-position model. The record is from RNAcentral.